Molecule: ribosomal RNA, 253 nt
Filed under: uncultured bacterium
Lineage: Bacteria
Description: partial 16S ribosomal RNA
Rfam family: Bacterial small subunit ribosomal RNA
Source: RNAcentral
UACGUAGGGGGCAAGCGUUGUCCGGAUUUAUUGGGCGUAAAGAGCGUGUAGGCGGCUAGGUAGGUCCGUUGUGAAAACUCGAGGCUCAACCUCGAGACGUCGAUGGAAACCAUCUGGCUAGAGUCCGGAAGAGGAGAGUGGAAUUCCUGGUGUAGCGGUGAAAUGCGCAGAUAUCAGGAGGAACACCGGUGGCGAAGGCGGUUCUCUGGGCCUGUACUGACGCUGAGGAACGAAAGCGUGGGGAGCGAACAGG